GCGCUUGUGGCGGAAUUGGCAGACGCGCUGGAUUUAGGUUCCAGUGUCUUCGGACGUGGGGGUUCAAGUCCCCCCAAGCGCA
This 82-nucleotide transfer RNA is filed under the name Corynebacterium kroppenstedtii. RNAcentral describes it as "tRNA-Leu". It matches the Rfam family "tRNA". From Rfam's summary of the family: Transfer RNA (tRNA) molecules are approximately 80 nucleotides in length. Their secondary structure includes four short double-helical elements and three loops (D, anti-codon, and T loops). Further hydrogen bonds mediate the characteristic L-shaped molecular structure. tRNAs have two regions of fundamental functional importance: the anti-codon, which is responsible for specific mRNA codon recognition, and the 3' end, to which the tRNAs corresponding amino acid is attached (by aminoacyl-tRNA synthetases). tRNAs cope with the degeneracy of the genetic code in two manners: having more than one tRNA (with a specific anti-codon) for a particular amino acid; and 'wobble' base-pairing, i.e. permitting non-standard base-pairing at the 3rd anti-codon position. RNAcentral also lists the same sequence under 1 other name. Lineage: Bacteria; Bacillati; Actinomycetota; Actinomycetes; Mycobacteriales; Corynebacteriaceae. The record is from RNAcentral.